Molecule: long non-coding RNA, 702 nt
Filed under: Polistes fuscatus (common paper wasp)
Lineage: Eukaryota; Metazoa; Arthropoda; Insecta; Hymenoptera; Vespidae
Description: uncharacterized LOC122518143
Source: RNAcentral
AAGGCAAGGUAAAAAGGGAGAAGGGGGAAAAGGAAAAACUAGAAACGACUAGAAUGAGUUAGAGAAAGGAAGAAAGUGGAUUUCGAAGGCCCCGAGCUAGAUAAAGAAUUCUUUUUUCAUUUCUCAGCCAGCACCACCACCAAGGGAGCUCGGUUCACCCUUCCGGGACAGGCUCGCGCUAUUCCCAUUGGAGCAUUUGCCCGGCGUUCGUCCACUCCCCGUGGACUAGCACUGCUAGACUUUUUUAAUGAGGCUUCCCCGGUGAUCCUUGCGAACGAGUGAGCUAGCGAAUAAGAAGAAACGGCCGUCAGGACGACGACGAAGACGACGAGGAAGACGACGAGGACGACGAAGAGGACGACAUACUCCAUAUUUCAGAUAAAUAUUUCUCACCGAUAUAACUAGGUGAUCGACGUCGAUGAGGAAGAAGCGGAAGAGGAUAAAAAGAAAAAGAAAAGAAAAAGAAAAAGAAAAAAAAAGGGAACAAAACGAGAGACGGAAAAAAAUAAAAUAAAAUAAAGAAAAAAUAUGAAAAGCAGAGACAUCGGUGAAGGCGACGGAUAAAUACGCGAUGAUCAUCAACGUGAUUCAACAGCAGCAAGGCUUUCCCAUCUUCGGGCUUCGACACUUCUCCGCGAUCGUUUAUCGAUUGUAGCGAGAAAAAGAACAAAAUACAAGAAAAAAAGUAACUCUCGUCAAGAA